This 650-nucleotide non-coding RNA is filed under the name Pongo abelii (Sumatran orangutan). The record is from RNAcentral. Lineage: Eukaryota; Metazoa; Chordata; Mammalia; Primates; Hominidae.
AGAUCAGCCCUGGGGUUCAGAGGGAUCCUGACGGCUACUCCUCAAGAUCCUCUCUGUUGUGAUUCAUCCCCCCCAGGCCCUACAGUUUCUCCUUCCUGACUCUUACAUUUCUUUGGAUGGCAUCACUAUUUACCUGUCUCCUCCCAUAGUUAGUUGCCAAGCACUGUGGAUUCUACCCCUCAGGGUCCAGACACCCAUUUUCCUUCCCACUGUUCCCUCCCCAUGGAGAAGCCUGUGGCUGACUGACAGCUCAACUUGGAGAAGGUGUUACCUGGGCCAGGUGGGGAAGGUAGGGUUGUUUGCAGAGCAAAGAAGUGAAGCCACCUCAAGAAAGAACAGUUCAUGUGCAGGUGACCAUGUAGUUCAAGUCAUCAUUAAAUCCAAAGCUGAGCAGCCAUGAUGCUAUUGGUGGAAUUGCCCUUGACCAAGAGAAAUCCAUCUUGAUUGUCUCAAUAAUUGGCUCAAGGGCCAUUGAUGAUGAGGUCCUAAAUUUAAUUCCUAAUAAAACCCCUGAAGUUUUAGAGGCAAAAUGAGAAAGCAUAGCUCACAAAUACCUUGACCAAUGACUUGCCUAUUCAAUGUGAAAAAGAUGAGGGCGAAGACCUUUAUGAUGAUCCAAGUAAUGAACACACUGGAGAAAGUCAAACAGU